GAUGAACGCUGGCGGCGUGCCUAAUACAUGCCAGUCGAGCGAACGGACGAGAAGCUUGCUUCUCUGAUGUUAGCGGCGGACGGGUGAGUAACACGUGGAUAACCUACCUAUAAGACUGGGAUAACUUCGGGAAACCGGAGCUAAUACCGGAUAAUAUUUUGAACCGCAUGGUUCAAAAGUGAAAGACGGUCUUGCUGUCACUUAUAGAUGGAUCCGCGCUGCAUUAGCUAGUUGGUAAAGUAACGGCUUGCCAAGGCAACGAUGCAUAGCCGACCUGAGAGGGUGAUCGGCCACACUGGAACUGAGACACGGUCCAGACUCCUACGGGAGGCAGCAGUAGGGAAUCUUCCGCAAUGGGCGAAAGCCUGACGGAGCAACGCCGCGUGAGUGAUGAAGGUCUUCGGAUCGUAAAACUCUGUUAUUAGGGAAGAACAUAUGUGUAAGUAACUGUGCACAUCUUGACGGUACCUAAUCAGAAAGCCACGGCUAACUACGUG
This 497-nucleotide ribosomal RNA is filed under the name uncultured bacterium. RNAcentral's name for it is "partial 16S ribosomal RNA". It matches the Rfam family "Bacterial small subunit ribosomal RNA", at positions 28 to 507 of the family's 1533-position model. The record is from RNAcentral.